Molecule: long non-coding RNA, 591 nt
Filed under: Setaria viridis
Lineage: Eukaryota; Viridiplantae; Streptophyta; Magnoliopsida; Poales; Poaceae
Description: long non-coding RNA (SVIR_LNC010285)
Source: RNAcentral
UUUAAUUAGCAAUUAUAUUUACAAUAAGUUUGAAUGACUCAUUAAUACUACACUAGUUAUGUUACCUUCUUAAAUAAUUAUUUUACUGCAUCACUAUCAUCUAUCAUUAAUCCCAGAGGGCAAACCGCGCUGCAACUUUGAUGCUUCCUUCUCAGUUUCGCAAUCUCUGUGUGCAUCCCUAAGCACCUGACCGAGGUCCUCAGUAUCACAAACUCAAAUAUUGCUGAAAGUUUACAUAGAAAUACACAAAUUAUUUAGCUCAUAUUUAAUUUACAAAUAACUAAACUAUUAAAAAAUUCAAUAUUUCCCACAUAAUUUACUUAUUCUAAAAAUGGCUAAUUCCAUACCUCUAUCUGAAAAGUACUAAAGUAUGAAAUUACACCUACAAUUUAUAUGGCUAAUUUAUAAAUAUUAAAAACACAUUUACCCUAAUUUUUCCGUAAUACAUAAAAUUAAAAUAAUCUCAAUUCUACGUCACAUUUACUGUCCAUUCUCCCUCACAUUCAAACUAUCCAUCACAUUGUAGCUCAAAAACAUGCAUAAAUACAAAUCCACUACAUGCUUAACAACAAACAAACUCAUUUUUCUCCC